UUUCAGGUUUUCCCAGUCAGACGUGUAACCGACGGCCAGUGGAUGUAUACGACUCCACAUAUUCCGGUUGAUCCCGCCGGACCCCACUGCUAUCGGGAUAGGACUAAGACAUGCUAGUCGUGUGCCUCAGCCAAAACGAGGCACGGCGCACAGCUCAGUAACACGUGGCUAACCUGCCCUUAGGACGAGAAUAACCCCGGGAAACUGGGGCUAAUGCUCGAUAGGUGAAGAACUCUGGAAUGAGUCUUCACUUAAAAGAGUCUGCGUUAUGCUCGUAGAUUUCGCUUAAGGAUGGGGCCGCGACCGAUCAGGUUGUUGGUGAGGUAAUGGCUCACCAAGCCUUUUACCGGUGCGGGCCGUGAGAGCGGGAGCCCGGGGAUGGGCACUGAGACAAGGGCCCAGGCCCUACGGGGCGCAGCAGUCGCGAAAACUUUGCAAUACGCGAAAGUGUGACAGGGCUAUCCCGAGUGCCAUCCGCUGAGGAAGGCUUUUACCCAGUCUAGAAAGCUGGGGGAAUAAGGAGAGGGCAAGCCUGGUGUCAGCCGCCGCGGUAAUACCAGCUCUCCGAGUGGUGUGGAUGUUUAUUGGGCCUAAAGCAUCCGUAGCUGGCUAAGUUAGUCCCCUGUUAAAUCCAACGAAUUAAUCGUUGGAUCGCGGGGGAUACUGCUUGGCUAGGGGACGAGAGAGGCAGACGGUAUUUCCGGGGUAGGGGUGAAAUCCUAUAAUCCCGGGAAGACCACCAGUGGCGAAGGCUGUCUGCUAGAACGCGCCCGACGGUGAGGGAUGAAAGCUGGGGGAGCGAACCGGAUUAGAUGCCCGGGUAGUCCCAGCUGUAAACGAUGCAGGCUAGGUGUUUGGACGGCCACGUGCCGUUCUAGUGCCGCAGGGAAGCUGUUAAGCCUGCCGCCUGGGGAGUACGAUCGCAAGAUUGAAACUUAAAGGAAUUGGCGGGGGAGCACCACAAGGGGUGAAGCUUGCGGUUUAAUUGGAUUCAACGCCGGA
Molecule: ribosomal RNA, 1002 nt
Filed under: uncultured crenarchaeote
Lineage: Archaea; Thermoproteati; Thermoproteota
Description: partial 16S ribosomal RNA
Rfam family: Archaeal small subunit ribosomal RNA
Source: RNAcentral